GCCCAGACAGCACAUGUACGUCUGGCCGACGUCGGCCCAAUAUCGAAACGUCGGCCUCUAUACCUAAAACAUCUAUAAAACAUCGGCCUGGCGGAGGCCGAUAUAAUUUGGUCAGUGCUCUGUUCUCCAGCUCAUCAAUCGUCGGCCCUGAGUUGGUUCACGACCGCGGGCCGAUGCCGCGCUUAUCUGUGUGCGCGUGCCCAGUAUUCAUCUCUUUUAGCCACCCAGAGAGAGAGAAGAGGAUAAUCCCAGCGACAUCUGUGGCUCUGAGGCUUCCAGAAAUAAUCCGGUGAAAUAAUAUGAUGUUUGUUUGUGUGAAUGCUGUGUGUGCGUUGAGUCCUGCGCGAGCGGGGAGCAGAGUUGCCAUGGAAACGGGGCAUCAACACAAAAACCGUUACUGGCAAGCAGUAAUCUCCGUCUCUCGCUGCAGUUUACACUGUUUUGGGAGGACAGAAAGAAACUCUACAGAACAGAAGUGAAGCUCCAAGAUUUCAACAUUUCUGAA
Long non-coding RNA from Carassius auratus (goldfish), 505 nucleotides. RefSeq lists it as uncharacterized. The record is from RefSeq and is a predicted model, not a curated record. Lineage: Eukaryota; Metazoa; Chordata; Actinopteri; Cypriniformes; Cyprinidae. The transcript is spliced from 4 exons.